GAAACAUCUUGCCCAGAAGCCAAGGAGGUCAGCCUUCUGCUGCUUUCAGCUCUCAGGUGACCAGCACAGUAUGGAAACUGUCGACUACUUUAAUUUCCCCUGACUAGCUCCAUUAAGAAGAGUGUUUUGUGAACAGUCUAUACCAGUGGGGGAGCUUCUCCGUUUUCCCCAAGCCCUUCUUUAAUUCGGUUGUAGACUUUGUCCCUAGGUGAGCCUCAGUGGACUCAGUGUCUGUCCUGCUCCUUCUUCAAUGUGAUUAAGUGGCACCCAAAGCAAGUGAGUGAUCCCAUAGAUCAGCUGCUUGGAUGUCUCCAUGUGAGGGUGAUCUUUGACUUCAUCAUGGCAGACCAGGAAUAUUAGAGAGUUACCACCCAGGAGACACUGCCACGAGUAGACAGAGGAGGAUGAAGGGGCCGAGGAACUAGCUGGUCUAUGCUUGCUGCCACCUUGGUGUCUGCUGGGCUGAGGAAGACCAAGUCCCUGGAUACUCCUGUGAGCCAUGUCUUCUAAGGACAUAUUUGGAAGUCAGUAUGAGAAAAGCAUCACUAUGAAGCAAGCAAAAUUGUCUUCUGUAGCUGUUGUAUGAAGAUUGAUAGAUGAACUCUGACUACCUUGAUCCUAGGUCCUCACUGAUUCAGUGAGAUGCUGGGUUUAG
Molecule: long non-coding RNA, 655 nt
Filed under: Ictidomys tridecemlineatus (thirteen-lined ground squirrel)
Lineage: Eukaryota; Metazoa; Chordata; Mammalia; Rodentia; Sciuridae
Description: lncRNA (ENSSTOG00000031785.1)
Source: RNAcentral